GCAAACACACUUUAGCAUAUGCUACAACCGGAAUGACACAAAGAUUGACAUGACCCCUGUGCAGGGAUGACACACACUCGUCAAGUGUUCCAUAUCUUU
Molecule: small nuclear RNA, 99 nt
Filed under: Ochotona princeps (American pika)
Lineage: Eukaryota; Metazoa; Chordata; Mammalia; Lagomorpha; Ochotonidae
Source: RNAcentral